Triticum dicoccoides is the source of this 593-nucleotide long non-coding RNA. RefSeq lists it as uncharacterized. NCBI's taxonomy places the organism in Eukaryota, Viridiplantae, Streptophyta, Magnoliopsida, Poales, Poaceae. The record is from RefSeq and is a predicted model, not a curated record. The transcript has 2 exons.
GCCUCUGCCCCAUACUGCACUGCCCCACCAUCCUCCUCGUGCGCCGCGUAGGAGCGCCACCUCACCCGCGCCGCCCCCACCAUCCUCCUCCUGCUCCCAACCCACUUCCCUCUCUGGUAGCUCAAUCCAAAUCGGGAUCGAGUGCAUCUCCCUCGUCGGCGAGCUCGCUCUGCCUCGUAGGCUCCUGUGCGGCAACAUCUAGAGGAGCACGAGGGCCGAGCGAUUUGGUUGCUCCUCCCCGUGCAGUUCGCCUUCACCACCGCUCACUCGACUGCCGCUCCUCCUCCAAUCUCCCUUCCCCAGCGACUAUCCCAAGAUGUUGUUGUCUCCUCCCUUCCUCUCUUAUCUCCACAGUCGCUUGAGAUGCAGCUCGCCGACGUGUGCUCGAUGCCACCCGUUCCUGGCAGUGUCCACAAAGCCGUUCUGUUUGCACGGGAAAGCGGUUCUGCAACUCGUCCCUGCAGUUCCUGGUCGUGGAUCCAUUUUCUUAACCUUUUUUAAUGUGAUGUAUCGGCGUAUUUUGCAUCAAAGUUUACUGCUCGGGGGUGCACUUCAGUCCGAUGGAGGGGCACGUGCAGCUCUGUUAUUUUAUU